Molecule: ribosomal RNA, 459 nt
Filed under: uncultured bacterium
Lineage: Bacteria
Description: partial 16S ribosomal RNA
Rfam family: Bacterial small subunit ribosomal RNA
Source: RNAcentral
CCUACGGGAGGCAGCAGUGAGGAAUAUUGGUCAAUGGCCGAGAGGCUGAACCAGCCAAGUCGCGUGAGGGAAGACGGCCCUACGGGUUGUAAACCUCUUUUGUCGGGGAGCAAAGCGAGUCACGUGUGACUCAUUGAGAGUACCCGAAGAAAAAGCAUCGGCUAACUCCGUGCCAGCAGCCGCGGUAAUACGGAGGAUGCGAGCGUUAUCCGGAUUUAUUGGGUUUAAAGGGUGCGUAGGCGGGACCUUAAGUCAGCGGGAAAAUUGCGGUGCUCAACGCCGUAGAGCCGUUGAAACUGGGUUUCUUGAGUGAGCGAGAAGUAUGCGGAAUGCGUGGUGUAGCGGUGAAAUGCAUAGAUAUCACGCAGAACCCCGAUUGCGAAGGCAGCAUACCGGCGCUCAACUGACGCUGAGGCACGAAAGUGCGGGUAUCGAACAGGAUUAGAUACCCUAGUAGUC